This 495-nucleotide ribosomal RNA is filed under the name uncultured bacterium. RNAcentral describes it as "partial 16S ribosomal RNA". It matches the Rfam family "Bacterial small subunit ribosomal RNA", at positions 28 to 507 of the family's 1533-position model. The record is from RNAcentral.
GACGAACGCUGGCGGCGUGCCUAAUACAUGCAAGUCGAACGCUGAAGGAGGAGCUUGCUUCUCUGGAUGAGUUGCGAACGGGUGAGUAACGCGUAGGUAACCUGCCUGGUAGCGGGGGAUAACUAUUGGAAACGAUAGCUAAUACCGCAUAAUAGCAGUUGUUGCAUGAUAACUGUUUGAAAGGUGCAAUUGCACCACUACCAGAUGGACCUGCGUUGUAUUAGCUAGUUGGUGGGGUAACGGCUCACCAAGGCGACGAUACAUAGCCGACCUGAGAGGGGGAUCGGCCACACUGGGACUGAGACACGGCCCAGACUCCUACGGGAGGCAGCAGUAGGGAAUCUUCGGCAAUGGACGGAAGUCUGACCGAGCAACGCCGCGUGAGUGAAGAAGGGUUUCGGAUCGUAAAGCUCUGUUGUAAGAGAAGAACGAGUGUGAGAGUGGAAAGUUCACACUGUGACGGUAGCUUACCAGAAAGGGACGGCUAACUACGUG